GGGACCUGGGUUUCCUCCUGAUCCGAGGUCACCUUUAAAAAUUGGGGGUUUAGCGGCUGGAGCACGCCGGGACGAUCCGAACGAGGUUCGCGUUUUACCGCGUUUUACUGCGCUCAGUGUACCGACGAGCCCGCCGAUGAACUUGGGGGCCCCCUUCCCCCUCGCCACCCCCCCCCCCCCCCCCCCGCCCCCCCCCCCCCCCGCGCUCCCCCCCCCCCCCCUCCCCCCCCGCCCCACGCCCCCUCCACCCCCCUCUCCCUUGCGCCACCUCCUCCCUCCCGCUCAUCCCGCGGCGCCUCCCCGGCGAUGUCCCCCCGACGCCCCCCCCCCCCUCGCUCCCCUCUCCCCACCCAUUCACACCCCUUCUCCCCCCGCACGUCCCCGCCUUCCCCCCGCUUCCCCCCCUGCUCCCUCCUCAUCUGGAUCCCCCCCCCCCACACAAUAUACUCCCCCCGCUCGCCAACGCCCCCCUACGCCCCCUCCCUGAUCCUCGCCCGCUGCGCAUCUCCCCCGAGAUCAUUACUGAGUUGAAAAACUCCACCCCUGUGAACAUAACCUCAGUCGUUGCUUACGGCGGG
This 578-nucleotide unclassified non-coding RNA is filed under the name Pyricularia oryzae. RNAcentral's name for it is "sequence contains 5.8S rRNA gene, ITS2". The record is from RNAcentral. Lineage: Eukaryota; Fungi; Ascomycota; Sordariomycetes; Magnaporthales; Pyriculariaceae.